Molecule: ribosomal RNA, 253 nt
Filed under: uncultured bacterium
Lineage: Bacteria
Description: partial 16S ribosomal RNA
Rfam family: Bacterial small subunit ribosomal RNA
Source: RNAcentral
GACGUAGGGCGCGAGCGUUGUCCGGAUUUAUUGGGCGUAAAGAGCGUGUAGGCGGUCCGGUAAGUCUGCUGUGAAAGUCGGGGGCUCAACCCUCGAAUGCCGGUGGAUACUGUCGGGCUAGAGUGCGGAAGAGGCGAGUGGAAUUCCUGGUGUAGCGGUGAAAUGCGCAGAUAUCAGGAGGAACACCGGUGGCGAAGGCGGGUCUCUGGGCAGUAACUGACGCUGAGGAGCGAAAGCGUGGGGAGCGAACAGG